This 253-nucleotide ribosomal RNA is filed under the name uncultured bacterium. Its description in RNAcentral is "partial 16S ribosomal RNA". It matches the Rfam family "Bacterial small subunit ribosomal RNA", at positions 524 to 776 of the family's 1533-position model. The record is from RNAcentral.
UACAGAGGUGGCAAGCGUUGUUCGGAAUUACUGGGCGUAAAGGGCUCGUAGGUGGCCAACUAAGUCAGACGUGAAAUCCCUCGGCUUAACCGGGGAACUGCGUCUGAUACUGGAUGGCUUGAGUUCGGGAGAGGGAUGCGGAAUUCCAGGUGUAGCGGUGAAAUGCGUAGAUAUCUGGAGGAACACCGGUGGCGAAGGCGGCAUCCUGGACCGGCAUUGACGCUGAGGCGCGAAAGCCAGGGGAGCAAACGGG